Molecule: unclassified non-coding RNA, 240 nt
Filed under: soil metagenome
Description: partial contains 5.8S ribosomal RNA, internal transcribed spacer 2, and large subunit ribosomal RNA
Rfam family: Eukaryotic small subunit ribosomal RNA
Source: RNAcentral
AACCUUAUGGACCUGCGGGCGUAUACCUGCGGAGGGAUCAUUACCGAGUUUUCAACUCCCUAACCCUUCUGUGAACCUACCUAUCGUUGCUUCGGCGGACUCGCCCCAGCCCGGACGCGGACUGGACCAGGGAGGUGGGCAACUACCCCCCAGGGCCGGAAAGCUCUCCAAACUCGGUCAUUUAGAGGAAGUAAAAGUCGUAACAAGGUCUCCGUUGGUGAACCAGCGGAGGGAUCAUUA